GACGGAUGGGGCUAGCGUUAUUCGGAAUUACUGGGCGUAAAGGGCGCGUAGGCGGUCAAUUGAGUUAGGCGUGAAAGCCCUGGGCUUAACCUAGGAACUGCGCUUAAUACUGGUUGGCUAGAGUUUGGUAGAGGAAAGCGGAAUUCCUAGUGUAGAGGUGAAAUUCGUAGAUAUUAGGAAGAACACCAGAGGCGAAGGCGGCUUUCUGGACCAAUACUGACGCUGAGGCGCGAAAGCGUGGGGAGCAAACAGG
RNAcentral lists this ribosomal RNA (253 nucleotides) under uncultured bacterium. RNAcentral describes it as "partial 16S ribosomal RNA". It matches the Rfam family "Bacterial small subunit ribosomal RNA", at positions 524 to 776 of the family's 1533-position model. The record is from RNAcentral.